CCGUAACGCCAUCUUGCUUUUACCCCUGCCCCUCAGCAGGCUACGCGGAGCUUCGCAUCUGAGCCACUAUCGGAGCAUACUCCAUCCACCUUCGCAUAGCCUUUGGCUUCGUAGGCACUACUGACAUUGGAGCCUCCACCGACAGCCACAUCUUGGGUACAAACUUCACCCACCGAUGAGGCUCCAUCGGCAUCUAUGUCGCACGAUCCCAGUGUAUCAUCAAGUAGAAUAUUUUACGGUCCCAUAUGCAUACCGCAUGUGUGGAACCGCCAGCAUUAGAUCAUGAUGGAGUACGAUUAGAAGAGGAAGUCAGUAGGAGAGACCACGUAGGAGAUGCAUUCCUUUUUCAGAAUAUUUAUGAGGUGGUCCGACAUCAUUCGCGUACUGCCCGUAGACUGACGAUUGAUAGACACUGGUGUCAAGGAUCGGAGGAGACAUGACUUCUCAGAUCAAGAGAGUGCUCGAGAUGUCCGACUGUAAA
This is a non-coding RNA of Elaeis guineensis (African oil palm), 481 nucleotides long. Lineage: Eukaryota; Viridiplantae; Streptophyta; Magnoliopsida; Arecales; Arecaceae. The record is from RefSeq and is a predicted model, not a curated record.